This is a long non-coding RNA of Ictalurus punctatus (channel catfish), 794 nucleotides long. RefSeq lists it as uncharacterized. The record is from RefSeq and is a predicted model, not a curated record. Lineage: Eukaryota; Metazoa; Chordata; Actinopteri; Siluriformes; Ictaluridae. The transcript has 3 exons.
GAUGUGAUUGGCCAUGCAAGGAGUUCUGCCUGGCAACAAGAGAACUAAUGCACUGAUUGGUAGAUAAUUACAAAAGGCGGUCCUCUUCGUCUGGUCUGUUGUUUGCUGCUGAGACCGGUUUCAGUGUAAAGUUAAUUAACGGGGUUUUUCACCGUGUGCCAUUUUAAGUGAUAUAAGACAAGAACAUGUGGAAAUGUGUCUGAUCAUCGCAACUCUAUCCUUGAUGUGCCAGUGGGGAGCUUACUCGAAGACACCAAUCUUCAGCCCCCCAACUCCUUGCAUUUGACUUCCUCUAUAGGGAUAAUACUUGGAGGCCAAGUGGUGAUGGACAAAAUGCAGGAUGUCUCAUAAGCAAUGUGUCUUCUCUUUGGUCUUAUUUAUGCGUUAGACCCAAAUUCCCUCGCAAACACGUUUGAUGUCAAUGGGGCAGAACACCCUCAAUCCUAAAGUACAGUCUUUGGCAAACCCACUUUUUGGUGAAGAAAAAUGUUUAGGUCUCCUUGUUGCAGAUUUUGAGUCAGCAUUGUUAGAUUUACAUACUCAGAGCAAUUUUUUUUAAUUGAUUAACUGGAUUAUCCAUAAAUGAAGGAGAAAAAGUAUAAUAGUAUUUUAAAUUGUUUAAGUGCACAGAGUUCUUCCACUGAUGGAGUGCAGUAGUUAAUGUGGGACAUUGUUACCAAGUCUUCAGUGCUGUACAGUGUGGUCGUGACACAUUUCCAUUAUAGUAUAGUGUGUACUGUAAUUUCAUUAAUUUUGUGAACAUUGGUCAAUAAAGACAUUCAAUAUGCUAUUCA